This 443-nucleotide ribosomal RNA is filed under the name uncultured bacterium. RNAcentral describes it as "partial 16S ribosomal RNA". It matches the Rfam family "Bacterial small subunit ribosomal RNA", at positions 338 to 795 of the family's 1533-position model. The record is from RNAcentral.
CCUACGGUGAGCUGCAGUGGGGAAUAUUGGACAAUGGGGGGAACCCUGAUCCAGCGACGCCGCGUGAGUGAAGAAGUAUUUCGGUAUGUAAAGCUCUAUCAGCAGGGAAGAAAGAAAUGACGGUACCUGACUAAGAAGCCCCGGCUAACUACGUGCCAGCAGCCGCGGUAAUACGUAGGGGGCAAGCGUUAUCCGGAUUUACUGGGUGUAAAGGGAGCGUAGACGGCGAUGCAAGUCUGAAGUGAAAGGCGGGGGCCCAACCCCCGGACUGCUUUGGAAACUGUAUGGCUGGAGUGCAGGAGAGGUAAGUGGAAUUCCUAGUGUAGCGGUGAAAUGCGUAGAUAUUAGGAGGGACACCAGUGGCGAAGGCGGCUUACUGGACUGUAACUGACGUUGAGGCUCGAAAGCGUGGGGAGCAAACAGGAUUAGAUACCCUGGUAGUC